This 484-nucleotide ribosomal RNA is filed under the name uncultured bacterium. Its description in RNAcentral is "partial 16S ribosomal RNA". It matches the Rfam family "Bacterial small subunit ribosomal RNA", at positions 28 to 523 of the family's 1533-position model. The record is from RNAcentral.
GACGAACGCUGGCGGCGUGCUUAACACAUGCAAGUCGAACGAUGAAGCCGGAGCUUGCUCUGGUGAAUUAGUGGCGAACGGGUGAGUAACACGUGAGUAACCUGCCCUUGACUCUGGGAUAACUGCUAGAAAUGGUAGCUAAUACCGGAUACGACCCUCGGAGGCAUCUCCAGGGGGUGGAAAGGAUUUCGGUCAAGGAUGGACUCGCGGCCUAUCAGCUAGGUGGUGAGGUAACGGCUCACCAAGGCGACGACGGGUAGCCGGCCUGAGAGGGUGACCGGCCACACUGGGACUGAGACACGGCCCAGACUCCUACGGGAGGCAGGAGUGGGGAAUAUUGCACAAUGGGCGCAAGCCUGAUGCAGCAACGCCGCGUGAGGGAUGACGGCCUUCGGGUUGUAAACCUCUUUUAGUAGGGAAGAAGCGAAAGUGACGGUACCUGCAGAAAAAGCACCGGCUAACUACGUGCCAGCCGCCGCCGUAA